Molecule: long non-coding RNA, 777 nt
Filed under: Fukomys damarensis (Damara mole-rat)
Lineage: Eukaryota; Metazoa; Chordata; Mammalia; Rodentia; Bathyergidae
Description: lncRNA (ENSFDAG00000023947.1)
Source: RNAcentral
AUCUGUGUCAUUUGAUCAAUUCUUUUUUUCUCUUAUUCUCAGGUAAGCCUCUGAACAUCCCUUGCAAAGCAUUCUUUGGAUUUAGUGGAGAGUCGGGGCCAAUGAUCUACUGGAUGAAAGGGGAAAAGUUUAUUGAAGAACUGGCAGGUCACAUUAGAGAAGGUGAAAUAAGGCUUCUCAAAGAGCACCUUGGAGAAAAAGAAGUUGAACUGACACUCAUCUUUGAUUCAGUGGUGGAGGCUGACCUGGCUAAUUAUACCUGCCAUGUAGAAAACCGAAACGGACGGAAACACGCCAGUGUCCUUCUUCGUAAAAAGGACUUAAUCUACAAAAUUGAGCUUGCUGGAGGCCUGGGGGCAAUCUUCCUCCUCCUUAUACUCCUGGUGGUCAUCUAUAAAUGCUAUAACAUUGAACUGAUGCUCUUCUAUCGACAACACUUUGGAAGUGAUGAAACUGCUGCGGGUAAACUGUAUCCUAUUGUUCGAAUUAUAGGAAAAGAUUUUAGUUGUGAUUAUGUAAAAGAAAUGUCCUAUUCCUAGGAAAUACUUGCCGAAAUAUUUAGAAGGGAAGGGCCACGACAUAUACUACUUAAUCUUACAUUAUUUAAGAAAACAGUUUACUUAUCGAGAAAGAUUUUUAAAAAAGAAAAAUAUUAGCAAUAUGUGGAGUGGGUAAAGGAUGUGUGCAGUUUAUUGGAAUAGUUUUGUCCCCGUGAUGUUUCUUGACUUGAAAUUAUUUCCAAAUAAAAGUUAAUGAGGAGGCUUUACUUGAUCAGGA